RNAcentral lists this ribosomal RNA (467 nucleotides) under uncultured bacterium. RNAcentral describes it as "partial 16S ribosomal RNA". It matches the Rfam family "Bacterial small subunit ribosomal RNA", at positions 29 to 507 of the family's 1533-position model. The record is from RNAcentral.
ACGAACGCUGGCAGCGUGCUUAACACAUGCCAGUCGAACGGAAAGGCCCUGCUUUUGUGGGGUGCUCGAGUGGCGAACGGGUGAGUAACACGUGAGUAACCUGCCCUUGACUUUGGGAUAACUUCAGGAAACUGGGGCUAAUACCGGAUAGGAGCUCCUGCUGCAUGGUGGGGGUUGGAAAGUUUCGGCGGUUGGGGAUGGACUCGCGGCUUAUCAGCUUGUUGGUGGGGUAGUGGCUUACCAAGGCUUUGACUGGUAGCCGGCCUGAGAGGGUGACCGGCCACAUUGGGACUGAGAUACGGCCCAGACUCCUACGGGAGGCAGCAGUGGGGAAUAUUGCACAAUGGGCGGAAGCCUGAUGCAGCAACGCCGCGUGCGGGAUGACGGCCUUCGGGUUGUAAACCGCUUUCGCCUGUGACGAAGCGUGAGUGACGGUAAUGGGUAAAGAAGAACCGGCUAACUACGUG